CUUCACCGACCCCAACCACAGCGGCUUGGACCGGUCCUGCCCGUAGGUGGCCAUGAGCGCCUGUGCCUC
Actinokineospora spheciospongiae is the source of this 69-nucleotide non-coding RNA. It matches the Rfam family "ASpks TB sRNA". The record is from Rfam. NCBI's taxonomy places the organism in Bacteria, Bacillati, Actinomycetota, Actinomycetes, Pseudonocardiales, Pseudonocardiaceae.